UGAUUGUGAGUGCAAAAAAUA
This 21-nucleotide non-coding RNA is filed under the name Caenorhabditis elegans. Lineage: Eukaryota; Metazoa; Nematoda; Chromadorea; Rhabditida; Rhabditidae. The record is from RNAcentral.